This 85-nucleotide transfer RNA is filed under the name Prevotella aff. ruminicola Tc2-24. Its description in RNAcentral is "tRNA_Leu_TAG". It matches the Rfam family "tRNA". Rfam says of the family: Transfer RNA (tRNA) molecules are approximately 80 nucleotides in length. Their secondary structure includes four short double-helical elements and three loops (D, anti-codon, and T loops). RNAcentral also lists the same sequence under 1 other name. Lineage: Bacteria; Pseudomonadati; Bacteroidota; Bacteroidia; Bacteroidales; Prevotellaceae. The record is from RNAcentral.
GCGCCUGUGGCGGAAUUGGUAGACGCGCCAGACUUAGGAUCUGGUGUCUCGCGACGUGCAGGUUCGAGUCCUGUCAGGCGCACGA